UACGUAGGUGGCAAGCGUUAUCCGGAUUUACUGGGUGUAAAGGGCGUGUAGGCGGGGACGCAAGUCAGAUGUGAAAACCACGGGCUCAACCUGUGGCCUGCAUUUGAAACUGUGUUUCUUGGGUACUGGAGAGGCAGACGGAAUUCCUAGUGUAGCGGUGAGAUGCGUAGAUAUUAGGAGGAACACCAGUGGCGAAGGCGGUCUGCUGGACAGCAACUGACGCUGAGGCGCGAAAGCGUGGGGAGCAAACAGG
This 253-nucleotide ribosomal RNA is filed under the name uncultured bacterium. Its description in RNAcentral is "partial 16S ribosomal RNA". It matches the Rfam family "Bacterial small subunit ribosomal RNA", at positions 524 to 776 of the family's 1533-position model. The record is from RNAcentral.